AUACAAAGGAGAAUUAAAAGGAUGAGACAUUUGAUUUUAGAACAAGAGGAAGAGAGCACACUGAGUGUAGGAGCCAUCUGGGCCAGUUUAAUGAUGAGCGGGUCCUGAGGCUUCAGCGCAUGUGUGACUUUGAAGGAAUGUGCUUCACCCCGCAUCAAAAUAUGAGUGAGAAAUAAGUGAGAACCACAUAUCAACCACCCAGAACACCCUAGCAACCAUAAAGCAACACCCUGGCAACCAGGUACAACAUCCUAGCAUCUUCACAACAGAUUUUGCAGAAGUAAGCAACAGUCCUAUUUUCUCUAGAAAUCUAGUCUCAUUCUGUAUGGUUUAUAAGCAUUUUGAAAAAUGAGGAC
Molecule: long non-coding RNA, 356 nt
Organism: Cyprinus carpio (common carp)
Lineage: Eukaryota; Metazoa; Chordata; Actinopteri; Cypriniformes; Cyprinidae
Source: RefSeq, a predicted model, not a curated record